GACAGAGGGUGCAAACGUUGUUCGGAAUUACUGGGCGUAAAGGGCGCGUAGGCGGUCUUGUAAGUCCCGUGUGAAAUCCCUCGGCUCAACUGAGGAACUGCACGGGAAACUGCUUGGCUUGAGUUCGGGAGAGGGAAGCGGAAUUCCGGGUGUAGCGGUGAAAUGCGUAGAUAUCCGGAGGAACACCGGUGGCGAAGGCGGCUUCCUGGACCGACACUGACGCUGAGGCGCGAAAGCUAGGGGAGCAACGGG
RNAcentral lists this ribosomal RNA (252 nucleotides) under uncultured bacterium. RNAcentral describes it as "partial 16S ribosomal RNA". It matches the Rfam family "Bacterial small subunit ribosomal RNA", at positions 524 to 775 of the family's 1533-position model. The record is from RNAcentral.